This 709-nucleotide ribosomal RNA is filed under the name Bulbospora minima. RNAcentral describes it as "LSU rRNA". It matches the Rfam family "Eukaryotic large subunit ribosomal RNA", at positions 38 to 637 of the family's 3401-position model. Lineage: Eukaryota; Fungi; Glomeromycota; Glomeromycetes; Diversisporales; Gigasporaceae. The record is from RNAcentral.
GCAUAUCAAUAAGCGGAGGAAAAGAAACUAACAAGGAUUCCCCUAGUAACGGCGAGUGAAGCGGGAAGAGCACAAAUUUUAAAUCUACCUGGUUUUACUAGGUCGAGUUGUAAUUUGAAGAAACGUUUUUAAUGUUUCUAGGUUGGUUUAAAUCCUUUGGGAUAAGAUAUCAUGGAGGGUGAGAAUCCCGUGUAUACCAACCGUAGGGAUGUUAUAUAAUACGUUUUCUAAGAGUCGAGUUGUUUGGGAAUGCAGCUCUAAAUGGGUGGUAAAUUUCACCUAAUGCUAAAUAUAGGCGAGAGACCGAUAGCGAACAAGUACCGUGAGGGAAAGAUGAAAAGAACUUUGAAAAGAGAGUUAAAUAGUACGUGAAAUUGUUGAAAGGGAAACGAUUAAAGUCAGUCAUGCCGGUAGGAAUCAACUUAGAGAUGGGGAUUUUUUGAACCAGCUUCGAGUGCAUUUCUUUACUUGGCAGGUUAGCGUCGAUUUUGGGCGUUAUAAAAUGACCGGGGGAAGGUGGCUCCUUCGGGAGUGUUAUAGCCCUUAGUAGAUGUAAUGCCUGGGAUCGAGGAUUAUAACGGAUACCCUUCGGGGCUAGCCGCCUAAUCUCUAAUAGAUGUUGGGUUAUGGACAGCACGCUGACUAUGAUUUAAUUAUUGGUUAAAAGGUUAGAGCGAGCGUAAAUUCGUUAAGGAUGUUGACGUAAUGG